ACAUGCCUACAACAUAGUGUUAAUUCACUGGAUCCCAUUAAAACUACAUAGUUAAGCGUGCUCAACCUAGAGUAGUACUGGGAUGGGUGACCGCCCAAGAAGUCCUAGUGUUUUACAUGCC
Molecule: non-coding RNA, 121 nt
Organism: Picea glauca (white spruce)
Lineage: Eukaryota; Viridiplantae; Streptophyta; Pinopsida; Pinales; Pinaceae
Source: Rfam